Molecule: long non-coding RNA, 1023 nt
Filed under: Apteryx haastii (Great spotted kiwi)
Lineage: Eukaryota; Metazoa; Chordata; Aves; Apterygiformes; Apterygidae
Description: lncRNA (ENSAHAG00000019296.1)
Source: RNAcentral
GGGCUGCGCAUUCCUGAGCCACAGGCUGCCUCUCCCUUCCCGUCUGCUCCGAGCCUGUCAGACCAGCUCGGGCCUGGCUCGGGAGCAGGCCAGGGAGCGCCGGCUCGGCGCUGCCGGCGGGGCACCGACCCCGCUGCAGGCCCCAGUCUAGGCCCAGCCGCAGCGCGGCGCAGCAGCCGCCUCAGGAGCGAGGUGUGGGCUCGGCGGGGGCUCUGGGGUCUGCUCUGGCGAGGCUCUGCCUGCAGCUGGGCCKGGAGAACCGUGCAGCGGCACCGUGGCGGCGGGAGCGUCUGGGGGUGCGGGGCCCAGGGCCUCCCUCUCGCACGGGGCGAGGCGGCGGGCACCUGCGGGUGCAGCAGGGCCGGUGCCACCGCUUCCCCGCUCCCCCCCCGCGGACCGUCGUUCGCUGACGGAGGGGCGGUCGGGCUGGAACCGAGGGAGCAGGGCCUCGCCGCUGGCACAGGCAGAGAAGGGUUAAGCGAGAUUCCCCGCAGCCCCGGGCGUGGCAGCUCCUGUUAUUUCACCUUUCGUGUUCUAUCUUAUGCAGCCUGGCAGCCGCGGCGGCUGGUGGCUGGUGUGCCGGGCGGUGCCCGGACGGCUGCGAGGGCGCGGCGGGAGGCGGCUCUGCGGGCGGCGGCCGUGACUCAGGCCCGCGCAGCCUGCUCCCGGCGGGCCCACACGGGCGCCAUGUUAGGGACGCGGCGGGGGCCGCGCUGCCGCCUGCUGGGCCGCGGCUGCCCUGCCUCCGCGGCCUCGGCACGGCUCAUCGCGCCGGUGACACGCGAUCGCCUGCAACUGGAAGUUGCACAGGCAACGAGGAAGGACCCGCAGCAGGAGGGCGUGGAGGAAGGAGCCCAGGCGUUUGGUGGCCAAGGGAUAAGCGCACGGGAAGACCGGGCGCACGCGUGGCAGCCUGAGCGUGUAGUGAAGGUGCGCGCACACRACAGCUCGUGCAGGCCCACGCACCCCAUAACCUGCACUCCCGAGCAGCGCUUCCUGCCGUAUAUUCAUGUACCUGUAUGA